GUGGGGCAGCGCGGGUAGCAAUACCUGGCGGCGACCGGCAAACGGGUGAGGAACAUGUACGCAACCUUCCUUUAACUGGAGAAUAGCCCCUCGAAAGAGGGAUUAAUACUCCGUAACAUUCCGACACAGCAUUGUGUUGGAAUUAUAGCUCCGGCGGUUAAAGAUGGGCGUGCACCUGAUUAGAUAGUUGGCGGGGUAACGGCCCACCAAGUCUGCGAUCAGUAACUGGUGUGAGAGCACGACCAGUCACACGGGCACUGAGACACGGGUCCGACUCCUACGGGAGGCAGCAGUAAGGAAUAUUGGUCAAUGGACGCAAGUCUGAACCAGCCAUGCCGCGUGGAGGAUUAAGGCCCUCUGGGUUGUAAACUCCUUUUAUCUGGGAAGAAAUGUUUCGAUUCUUCGGAACUUGACGGUACCAGAGGAAUAAGCACCGGCUAACUCCGUGCCAGCAGCCGCGGUAAUACGGAGGGUGCAAGCGUUAUCCGGAUUCACUGGGUUUAAAGGGUGCGUAGGCGGGCAGGUAAGUCAGUGGUGAAAUCUCCGAGCUUAACUCGGAAACUGCCGUUGAUACUAUUUGUCUUGAAUACUGUGGAGGUAAGCGGAAUAUGUCAUGUAGCGGUGAAAUGCUUAGAUAUGACAUAGAACACCAAUUGCGAAGGCAGCUUACUACACAGCGAUUGACGCUGAGGCACGAAAGCGUGGGGAUCAAACAGGAUUAGAUACCCUGGUAGUCCACGCCCUANACGAUGAUUACUCGACAUACGCGANACACUGUGUGUGUCUGAGCGAAAGCAUUAAGUAAUCCACCUGGGAAGUACGUUCGCAAG
RNAcentral lists this ribosomal RNA (830 nucleotides) under uncultured bacterium. RNAcentral describes it as "bacterial SSU rRNA". It matches the Rfam family "Bacterial small subunit ribosomal RNA", at positions 64 to 892 of the family's 1533-position model. The record is from RNAcentral.